This 460-nucleotide ribosomal RNA is filed under the name uncultured bacterium. RNAcentral describes it as "partial 16S ribosomal RNA". It matches the Rfam family "Bacterial small subunit ribosomal RNA", at positions 338 to 795 of the family's 1533-position model. The record is from RNAcentral.
CCUACGGGGGGCAGCAGUGAGGAAUAUUGGUCAAUGGACGUAAGCCUGAACCAGCCAAGCCGCGUGCGGGAUGACGGCUCUAUGAGUUGUAAACUUCUUUUGUACGGGAAUAAUAGUUCUUACGUGUCCGGUUUUGUAUGUAUCUUACGAAUAAGGAUCGGCUCACUCCGUGCCAGCAGCCGCGGUAAUACGGAGGAUUCGAGCGUUAUCCGGAUUUAUUGGGUUUAAAGGGUGCGUAGGCUGUCGGAUAAGUGAGAGGUCAAAUGUCGUGGCUUAACCCCGGGACUGCCUGUGAUACGGGUAGACUAGAGAGCGGAUGAGGCAGGCGGAAUGAGUAGGGUAGCGGUGAAAUGCUUAGAUAUUACUCAGAACACCGAUUGCGAAGGCAGCUUGCUAAGCCGCAUCUGACGCUGAUGCACGAAAGCGUGGGUAGCGAACAGGAUUAGAUACCCUGGUAGUC